AGCUGGUUCCCAGGCAGCUGCCGCGGAGCCGUCAGGGGCUGAGUGGACUGGAGGAGGAGUUUCCUGUGCCUUGCAGUUGCUUGCAGUCGGUGGAAGAUGAAUGUUAGGCUUCCUUAGUGCCCCCUGGGGUCGCUGAGGGACUCUUGGCAAGGUGUUGUCCUAUAGACUACAGGGAGCUUUUUCAUUACCAGCCUGGUGUUUCUUGGAUGAUGGAUUUUCCCAUAAUUCAGAGUCCAUGGGACUGACCACCUGAAACCCCCGUGACCAUCCAGCCAGAGGAAGGAGUCUGCUAAUUCUCAGAUGGAUCGUCACCCUGCUGGCUGUGAAGGUCUGCCUGUGCCUACCUAGGUAAUGGGGGAAAGGAGAUUGAGAAGGUCAAGGCAAGAACCUGUGUGGUAAAGACCAGAUAGAACUGGGUCUUGGGAGCUUGAGACCCUCCCAGCUUUCUCAGCUGGACAAGGUCACUCUGUUCUGGGUUAGAUUUCCUCUUUAAAAAACAAGGAGGGUAACUGAGGUUGUCUACAGACUCUUCCAGUUCUUGUGUGUGUGUGUGUGUGUGUGUGUGUGUGUGUGUGUAUGUGUUUACAUAUUGAUGUGUGUGGUGUGUGUGCAGGUGUUUAUAUGUGAGUUUUUUG
Molecule: long non-coding RNA, 635 nt
Filed under: Mus musculus (house mouse)
Lineage: Eukaryota; Metazoa; Chordata; Mammalia; Rodentia; Muridae
Description: predicted gene, 49896
Source: RNAcentral